This 497-nucleotide ribosomal RNA is filed under the name uncultured bacterium. RNAcentral describes it as "partial 16S ribosomal RNA". It matches the Rfam family "Bacterial small subunit ribosomal RNA", at positions 28 to 507 of the family's 1533-position model. The record is from RNAcentral.
GAUGAACGCUGGCGGCGUGCCUAAUACAUGCAAGUCGAGCGAACGGACGAGAAGCUUGCUUCUCUGAUGUUAGCGGCGGACGGGUGAGUAACACGUGGAUAACCUACCUAUAAGACUGGGAUAACUUCGGGAAACCGGAGCUAAUACCGGAUAAUAUUUUGAACCGCAUGGUUCAAAAGUGAAAGACGGUCUUGCUGUCACUUAUAGAUGGAUCCGCGCUGCAUUAGCUAGUUGGUAAGGUAACGGCUUACCAAGGCAACGAUGCAUAGCCGACCUGAGAGGGUGAUCGGCCACACUGGAGCGGAGACACGGUCCAGACUCCUACGGGAGGCAGCAGUAGGGAAUCUUCCGCAGUGGGCGAAAGCCUGACGGAGCAACGCCGCGUGAGUGAUGAAGGUCUUCGGAUCGUAAAACUCUGUUAUUAGGGAAGAACAUAUGUGUAAGUAACUGUGCACAUCUUGACGGUACCUAAUCAGAAAGCCACGGCUAACUACGUG